UACGUAGGGGGCAAGCGUUGUCCGGAUUUAUUGGGCGUAAAGAGCGUGUAGGCGGCCAGGUAGGUCUGCUGUGAAAACUCGAGGCUUAACCUCGAGAUGUCGGCGGAAACCAUCUGGCUAGAGUCCGGAAGAGGAGAGUGGAAUUCCGGGUGUAGUGGUGAAAUGCGUAGAGAUCCGGAGGAACCCCAGAGGCGAAGGCGGCGUCCUGGCUCACAACUGACGCUCAUACACGACAGCAUGGGGAGCGAACGGG
Molecule: ribosomal RNA, 253 nt
Filed under: uncultured bacterium
Lineage: Bacteria
Description: partial 16S ribosomal RNA
Rfam family: Bacterial small subunit ribosomal RNA
Source: RNAcentral